RNAcentral lists this ribosomal RNA (467 nucleotides) under uncultured bacterium. RNAcentral's name for it is "partial 16S ribosomal RNA". It matches the Rfam family "Bacterial small subunit ribosomal RNA", at positions 28 to 507 of the family's 1533-position model. The record is from RNAcentral.
GACGAACGCUGGCGGCGUGCUUAACACAUGCAAGUCGAACGGAAAGGCCCUGCUUUUGUGGGGUGCUCGAGUGGCGAACGGGUGAGUAACACGUGAGUAACCUGCCCUUGACUUUGGGAUAACUUCAGGAAACUGGGGCUAAUACCGGAUAGGAGCUCCUGCUGCAUGGUGGGGGUUGGAAAGUUUCGGCGGUUGGGGAUGGACUCGCGGCUUAUCAGCUUGUUGGUGGGGUAGUGGCUUACCAAGGCUUUGACGGGUAGCCGGCCUGAGAGGGUGACCGGCAAAAUUGGGCCUGAGUUACGGCCCAGACUCUUACGGGAGGCAGAGGUGGGGAAUAUUGCACAAUGGGCGGGGGCCGGAUGCGGCAACGCCGGGGGGGGAAUGACGGCCUCCGGGUUGUAACCCGUUUUGGCUUGUGAGGAGGCUUGGGUGACGGUAAUGGUAAAGAAGCACCGGCUAACUACGUG